GAUUCCAUUAAGUAAUUGCGAAUGAACAAGGAAAUGCUCAGCUUGAAAAAUGGGGCCUUUGGCUUUGAAUUGUAAUUUUGAAAUGUAUUGCCAAUGGAGGCGCAGGUGCAAGCCUAUUGAAAGAAAGCGUCAAUGAGGGUGAAAUUCCUUUUUGUCAUUUGCAGUCCUCCGUGCACGGUAUAUAUUUGACGAGUCACACUCCUCGGCAUUGGAAUGCAAAGUGGGUGGUAAAUUCCAUGUAAAGGUAAAUAUAUUAUUGAGACUGAUAGCAAACAAGUACCAUGAGGGAAAUAUGAAAAGGACUUUGAAAAGGGAAUUAAAAGAGUCUGCAUUUGCUGAACAGAAAGCAAACAGAAUUGAUGUGCUUGGUGAGAUUGUUGUGCCCACUCUGUCAUUUAUGUCGGAUGUGGGUGCGAUGGUUCUUACCUUGAAUGUCAGCUUCUAUUUCUGCAAAUCAUUACCCUUGCACAUGAAUGGUAAUUUGCCUGCGGGUAUUGGAAUGUGUGUGUUUGCAAUGAUUUGUGAUUUGAUGCAUGUGGUUGGUGGACUUUGUAUGUGCUGUUUUGCCAACGGGGAAGGGACUCUUCCUUGAGCACUGCAAGCCCUUGCACAUUAAUGCUGGCAAAAUGUUUCUGCUUGACCCGUCUUGAAACACGGACCAAGGAGUCUAACAGAUGUGCAAGUGCGUGGGUGGCAAACCUACUAACACAAUGAAAGUAUUGGCUGGGAUAUUUGCACCAGCAGCCGACUGAUUAGCAGACAGAGGUUUGAGUUUGAGCAUAUCUAUUAGGACCCGAAAGAUGGUGAACUAUGCCUGAACAGAAUGAAUUCAGAGGAAACUCUGAUGGAGGUUCGUAUCGAUACUGACGUGCAAAUCGUUCGUCAUACUUGGGUAUAGGGGCGAAAGACUAAUCGAACCAUCUAGUAGCUGGUUCCCUCCGAAGUUUCCCUCAGGAUAGCUGGAGUUGCACAGUUUUAUCAGGUAAAGCGAAUGAUUAGAGGAAUUGGGGACACGCUGUCCUUGACCUAUUCUCAAACUUUAAAUGGGUAAGAUGCAAUGGUUGCUUUAUUGAACUUUUGGAAUAAAUGGCAAUAUCAGGUGGGCCAUUUUUGGUAAGCAGAACUGGCGAUGAGGGAUGAACCUAACGUUGGGUUAAGGUGCUUAAUUGCUUGCUCAUUAGAUACCAGAAAGGGUGUUGGUUCAUUUUAACAGCAGGACGGUGGUCAUGGAAGUCGAAAUCCGCUAAGGAGUGUGUAACAACUCACCUGCCGAAUGGACUAGCCCCGAAAAUGGAUGGCGCUCAAGCGGGUGACCGAUACCCAACCACUGUUGGAAAUAGUAUCAGUGUGUAGGAGGGCAUGGCGGUUUGUGAUGCAGCCU
This 1381-nucleotide ribosomal RNA is filed under the name Alexandrium minutum. Its description in RNAcentral is "LSU rRNA". It matches the Rfam family "Eukaryotic large subunit ribosomal RNA", at positions 73 to 1411 of the family's 3401-position model. The record is from RNAcentral. Lineage: Eukaryota; Dinophyceae; Gonyaulacales; Pyrocystaceae.